ACCCAUGACGGUGGAUGUCUCGGCUCCAGCAACGAUGAAGAACGUAGCAAACUGCGAAACGUAAUGUGAACUGCAGAACCCGUGAAUCAUCGAAUUUUUGAACGCAAGUGGCGCUCGCGGGUAAUCCUGCGAGCAUGCCUGUUUGAGUGUCCGCACAAAUGUGAGUUUGCGCGUUGCAGGACAGAAAUGUUCUGCCACGCUGCAGCUGAUGGGUGUUGUCCGUGGGGCGCGGAGGGUUGGCGCCCGUGCCCGCGGUCACCCGAAGUAGAGAGUGUCUGAACGCGACGCACGCUGUCACGGUAGUGUCUUGCCUCACCCUGAUUGUAUUGCGGCGUGCUGCGGAGUAGGAAAAUGCGAGUUUUCGGAAAGCAGUGUGCCGGCAUUCGGUCGGGGAGAGCGAGGCGCACCGAAUUUUUUUGACCAAAAAAUUUGGUGGCCGAGUCGAUGAUUGCGUUGUGUAAGGACCUUACAGUAUCGGUUGAGGCGAGACCUCACGAACCCACUCAUUUGGAUCUCAAAUCAGGCAAGGCAACCCGCUGAAUUUAAGCAUAUUAUUAAGCGGAGGAAAAGAAACUAACUAGGAUUCCCCCAGUAGCGGCGAGCGAAGCGGGAAAAGCCCAACAUGAAAAGCCUGCUUGCAGGCGUUGUAUUGUGAGCGGCCUCUGGGGUGUCAGUGUGGGUAAGUCGCAUGGAAAUGCGGGCCGUGGAGGGUGAGAGUCCCGUCCGUCCCACACAGGACACACCGUACGAGGCUGUUUCAGACGAGUCGGGUAGCUUGGGAAUGCUGCUCUAAUUGGUGGUAAAUCUCAUCAAAGGCUAAAUAACGGCUGGAGACCGAUAGCGAACAAGUACCGUGAGGGAAAGAUGCAAAGCACUUUGAAAAGAGGGUGAAAAGAACCUGAAACCGUCAUGGGGGAAGCGGAUUGCGUUGGAAUGAAAGGGCGCUGUGUGUGUUCAGCCCGUUUGGGGUGCACUGGCACGAGUGCCUAUCCGCCGUGGGCUGCCGGGGGCCGAUUGUGGGUCCCUGGCGGCUGAGGGCUCCCCUCUUGCAGGGUUGAGGACGGCGGAGGGACGACGCGAUACGACCCGUCUUGAAACACGGACCAAGGAGUCUAGCGCGGAUGCGAGUCAAAGGGUGUGAAAGCCCGUGGGCGCAGUGAAAGCGACGUUGCAAAACGAGCAGUUUGAGGCGGCAUGAGAUCGUUGUAUCUCAAGUCCGACCUGGAGCAUUUGCGCUGGGACCCGAAAGAUGGUGAACUAUGCCGGAGUAGGGCAAAGCCAGAGGAAACUCUGGUGGAGGCUCGUAGCGGUGCUGACGUGCAAAUCGCUCGUCAAACUUGGGUAUAGGGGCGAAAGACUAAUCGAACCAUCUAGUAGCUGGUUCCCUCCGAAGUUUCUCUCAGGAUAGCGGGCCGACACGAGUUGUUCUGUGUGGUAAAGCGAAUGAUUAGCGUAUUUGGGGACAGUAUGUCUUCUGGCGAUUCUCAAACUUUAAAUGCGCAGGGGUGUCGCUGCUUGGUUGAGCGGCACCGGCAAAAACGUCGGCCCUGUGGGCCACUUUUGGUAAGCAGAACUGGCGAUACGGGAUGAACCGUAAGCACGGUUAAGGCGCCCAAGUGCCCGCUUAUAGACCCCACAAAAGGCGUUGAUUCAUCGAGACAGCAGGACGGUGGCCAUGGAAGUCGGAAUCCGCUAAGGAGUGUGUAACAACUCACCUGCCGAAUGAAUUAGCCCUGAAAAUGGAUGGCGCUGAAGCGGGCUGCCGACACCGUGCCGUCUGGGCGAGAAAGGCCCCAGAUGAGUAGGAGGGCGUGGCGGCCGUAUCGAAGCACGCGUGCAAACGCGUGUGGAACGGCCGCUAGUGCAGAUCUUGGUGGUAGUAGCAAGUAUUCAAGCGAGAUCCUUGAAGGGCGAAGCGGGGAAGGGUUCCACGCGAACAUUGAUUGGGCGUGGGUGAGUCGUUCCUAAGCCGAGUGGCGAUUGCUAAGUAGCGGCGAAAGGGAAGCGGGUUGAAAUUCCCGCACACGGAUGUGGACGCGGUGACGCGAGUGAUGGGGCGAAGACGCUGGCGACGGCGCUGGGCAGAGUUGUCUUUUCUGUUUGACCAGUUUGCGCGCGCGGUGUGGAAUCCGCUUGUCGGGAGAAACACGCGUGUGCGGGCAGAGCGCCGGGGCUUUUCCGGCGUCCAGCUCGCCGUCGACGGCCCUUGAAAAUUUGCCUGCUGAAAAUCUUUGAUUUGAAAUCCACGCCGUGGCGUACCGAUCACCGCAUCAGGUCCCCAAGGUGAACAGCCUCUGCUCAGUAUGAAUAAUGCAGGUAAGGGAAGUCGGCAAAUUAGACCCGUAACUUUGGGAAAAGGGUUGGCUCUAGUGCUGCGUGGGAGUGGUUGCCGGGUUCUGGCGCGCGCGGCUGUGCGGCUCUCGGCGCGGGACCUCGCAAGGGGACCUGUGCCGUGCCGCUGAGUCUGCGCGCCGCCACGCCUGGCGACGCCCACGGCAUGCAGCAGACUAGAACUGCAACGGGCAAAGGGAAUCCGACUGUUUAAUUAAAACAAAGCAUUGCGAGGGCCGUGGCCGGUGAUGA
RNAcentral lists this ribosomal RNA (2583 nucleotides) under Kappaphycus alvarezii. RNAcentral describes it as "eukaryotic LSU rRNA". The stretch from base 510 to 2583 matches the Rfam family "Eukaryotic large subunit ribosomal RNA", at positions 1 to 2184 of the family's 3401-position model. Lineage: Eukaryota; Rhodophyta; Florideophyceae; Gigartinales; Solieriaceae. The record is from RNAcentral.